Suncus etruscus (white-toothed pygmy shrew) is the source of this 136-nucleotide non-coding RNA. The record is from RefSeq and is a predicted model, not a curated record. Lineage: Eukaryota; Metazoa; Chordata; Mammalia; Eulipotyphla; Soricidae.
UAUACUGUUCCUGGUACUGGUUGUAUCUGUUAGUCGUCCAGUGAAAUCAUUAUCAGUCACAUACAUCAAAACAUAUGGUUCUUGCCAACAGGAUCUGUAUAGUUACUAGAUUUCCUGUGCAAUGGCUCCAUACAUG